GAUCCUGCCGGCGGCUACUGCUAUCAGGUUUUGACUAAGCCAUGCGAGUCAAGGGGUCGUAAGACACCGGCGUACUGCUCAGUAACACGCGGACAAUCUACCCUUAGGUGGGGCACAACCUCGGGAAACUGAGGCUAAUUCCCCAUAGUUGCCAUAUGCUGGAAUGCUUUGGCGAUGAAAGAAUUUCGCCUGAGGAUGAGUCUGCGACCUAUCAGGUCGUAUGUGGUGUAAAGGACCACAUAGCCUAAGACGGGUACGGGCCAUGAAAGAGGGAGCCCGGAGAUGGACUCUGAGACACUAGUCCAGGCCCUACGGGGCGCAGCAGGCGCGAAAACUGUGCAAUGCGCGAAAGCGCGACACGGGAAGCCUGAGUGCCUUAACCAUGUUAAGGCUUUUCUUGAGCCUAAAAAGCUCAAGGAAUAAGAACUGGGUAAGACGGGUGCCAGCCGCCGCGGUAACACCCGCGGUUCGAGUGGUAGUCACUUUUAUUGAGCCUAAAGCGUUUGUAGCCGGAUUUGUAAAUCUCCAGGAAAAGACUUCAGCUCAACUGAAGAAAUUUUGGAGAGACUGCAAAUCUAGGGACCGGGUGAGGUUGAAUGUACUUCUGGGGUAGGGGUAAAAUCCCGUAAUCCCGGAAGGACGACCGGUGGCGAAGGCGUUCAACUAGAACGGAUCCGACGGUGAGGAACGAAGGCUAGGGGAGCAAACCGGAUUAGAUACCCGGGUAGUCCUAGCUGUAAACACUGCCCACUUGGUGUUGCAUCUCCGGUAAGGGGGUGCAGUGCCGUACCGAAGGUGUUAAGUGGGCCGCUUGGGGAGUAUGGUCGCAAGGCUGAAACUUAAAGGAAUUGGCGGGAGAGCACCGCAACGGGAGGAGCGUGCGGUUUAAUUGGAUUCAACGCCGGAAAACUCACCGGAGGCGACCUAUGUAUGAGAGUCAACCUGAUGAGUUUACUCGAUAGUAGGAAAAGGUGGUGCAUGGCCGUCGUCAGCUCGUACCGUAGGGCGUUCACUUAAGUGUGAUAACGAGCGAGACCCCCAUCUUCAAUUGCUAAUUCAAUCGUGAGGUUGGAAGAACUUUGAAGGGACCGCCAGCGCAGAGCUGGAGGAAGGAGGGGUCGACGGCAGGUCAGUACGCCCCGAAUCUUCCGGGCUACACGCGCGCUACAAAGGACAGGACAAUGGGCUGCGACCUCGAAAGGGGAAGCCAAUCCCGAAACCUGUUCGUAGUUAGGAUUGAGGGCUGUAACUCGCCCUCAUGAAUCUGGAUUCCGUAGUAAUCGCGGGUCAACAUCCCGCGGUGAAUAUGCCCCUGCUCUUUGCACACACCGCCUGUCAAACCAUCCGAGCUGGUGUUGGAUGAGGGUUAGUUCGAAAGGGUUGAUUCGAAUCUGAUGUCAGUGAGGAGGGUUAAGUCGUAACAAGGUAACCGU
Molecule: ribosomal RNA, 1433 nt
Filed under: uncultured Cuniculiplasma sp.
Lineage: Archaea; Methanobacteriati; Thermoplasmatota; Thermoplasmata; Thermoplasmatales; Cuniculiplasmataceae
Description: bacterial SSU rRNA
Rfam family: Archaeal small subunit ribosomal RNA
Source: RNAcentral